GGGGCGAUGGCGAAAUGGCAGCCGCGACGGACUUAAAAUCCGUUGGAGUAAUCCUCCGUGUGGGUUCGACUCCCUCUCGCCCCA
This 84-nucleotide transfer RNA is filed under the name Chloroflexota bacterium. Its description in RNAcentral is "Chloroflexi bacterium (groundwater metagenome) tRNA-Leu". It matches the Rfam family "tRNA". From Rfam's summary of the family: Transfer RNA (tRNA) molecules are approximately 80 nucleotides in length. Their secondary structure includes four short double-helical elements and three loops (D, anti-codon, and T loops). The record is from RNAcentral. Lineage: Bacteria; Bacillati; Chloroflexota.